GUUGGUGACAAAACAUGGAAGCCUAGGCAAGAAAGAAGGUUCUAAAGGCCCCCUUGGGGUCCCAGGGCCUGGCCAGCUGUUGUUACACAAGAACGAAAGAACCGAUCUGCAAAGCAGUCAGGCUGCUCAGUGACACACUUGGUCAGUUCCUUGAAUAACUAGUCAGUUUAACAAAGGGAAUGGAAAUCAAAUAAAUGCCUCAAACCAGAA
Molecule: long non-coding RNA, 210 nt
Filed under: Mustela putorius furo (domestic ferret)
Lineage: Eukaryota; Metazoa; Chordata; Mammalia; Carnivora; Mustelidae
Description: lncRNA (ENSMPUG00000024501.1)
Source: RNAcentral